UUCUACCUCUGUCGUUCCCUCUCGCGAUUGCAUAGGCGGCGGCGAUCGUGGGGGCUUGCCUUUUCUUCGAUUGGCAGAGGAGGACGGCGGUGUUCAUGCUGUUGUGCGUGCUGUCGCCGGAGUUUUCUUUCUCGCAUCGGCCUCUCUGAUCUGCUGGGUGUGUGGAGGCGUGGAGGGCAGUGGCUGGUCGUGGGGUUUACUCUGCUUCUUCGGCUCCCUGUGUCGUGUUGAAGGGCAAGUGUUCAAGUCUAGGAGUUGUCUACAAGUCUGCAGCUAUGUUGAAUGACCAAUUUCACGACAUUGUUGUGUUUCCAAACCACAUAUCUGACCUCUCAUAACAUAUAUUCUUUUACUAGCAGUAUCUUCCUAUUGUAGUCAAUGAGCUGCCAUACCAGUCCAUGUUGCUGCCAGCUUCAAGCUUUUCCAAAAAUUCACUAUCAUAUAUUUUCUGAUAUCUUCUAUAAUGCUCUAUUCAUGUAAAUGUACUUGCCCUUUUGUGUCUUGCAGAUAUGCGGAUCUGUACAUUACUUAGAUGAUGGUUUUUGUUCCGUUUUAUAAAAGAAUUGGCAAAGAAAUCAUCAUGGUCAACAUUGUUACUGAAUUUUGUUAUGGAUGUACUGAUUACAUUGCAUAUUGUGGAGUCAUAUGUUCAAGGAUCGGAGGAGUCUUCUUCUACAUGAUUACUGCUUUUGUGGCGGUUUUUUUGUUUAAUCUAUUGAAAAGUUUGUCAGUUCUCUCAACUUCUCAUCCAACAGGAAAUUCUCAGCUGAAGCUUGCUGUAGUAUGGAUUUAUUAUCUACUGAAUUGGGCAUUGUGAGCUGUUGAUUGACUAAAGAGGCAGCCCUCGGAAGAUUUUUUAUUAUUUCUCCAGUAAGUGAAUUCCUUCGAGCAACAGUAGUUAUUUUCGGGAUUUAUUUGAUGGAUGAUCUAGA
Triticum aestivum (bread wheat) is the source of this 932-nucleotide long non-coding RNA. RefSeq lists it as uncharacterized. The record is from RefSeq and is a predicted model, not a curated record. NCBI's taxonomy places the organism in Eukaryota, Viridiplantae, Streptophyta, Magnoliopsida, Poales, Poaceae. The transcript has 3 exons.